GACGAACGCUGGCGGCGUGCCUAACACAUGCAAGUCGAGCGAAUGAAGUUCCUUCGGGAAUGGAUUUAGCGGCGGACGGGUGAGUAACACGUGGGCAACCUGCCUCAUAGAGGGGAAUAGCCUUCCGAAAGGGAGAUUAAUACCGCAUAAGAUUGUAGUAUCGCAUGAUACAGCAAUUAAAGGAGCAAUCCGCUAUGAGAUGGGCCCGCGGCGCAUUAGCUAGUUGGUGAGGUAACGGCUCACCAAGGCGACGAUGCGUAGCCGACCUGAGAGGGUGAUCGGCCACAUUGGGACUGAGACACGGCCCAGACUCCUACGGGAGGCAGCAGUGGGGAAUAUUGCACAAUGGGGGAAACCCUGAUGCAGCAACGCCGCGUGAGUGAUGACGGCCUUCGGGUUGUAAAGCUCUGUCUUCAGGGACGAUAAUGACGGUACCUGAGGAGGAAGCC
This 449-nucleotide ribosomal RNA is filed under the name uncultured bacterium. RNAcentral describes it as "bacterial SSU rRNA". It matches the Rfam family "Bacterial small subunit ribosomal RNA", at positions 28 to 492 of the family's 1533-position model. The record is from RNAcentral.